UCUCUAGUUAUGAGGAGAUGGGGGGGCCUCACAUCAUCCUCAAUGGACACAGCGCAGCCAGGAGAACGGGCACAAGGCAGCCAGUCACACAGGCCCCGGGGAGGGGGGGGGGGCUCGGGGGAAAUGUCACUGGGGCGAGGCUCACAGACUCUCCCGGGGCGGGAGGCAAGCUAGGUCGCUGUCGCUGUACGCCAAGCCCGGAUGGCUCCCUGGGCUUCCCUGAACAUCUGGGGCGGCCGCCGGUGUUUCUUCCCCCCCACCGGAUGGACCGCUUUACCCCCUCCGUGCGGCUACUACACCAUCCAAGAUGGCCGACCCGCUUCCUCCGGACAGCCUAGCCCUACAGCCGCCGGAAAUGACGUGCUCUCCAUCGGCAGCUCUGAUUGGGGGC
This is a long non-coding RNA of Nanorana parkeri, 391 nucleotides long. RefSeq lists it as uncharacterized. The record is from RefSeq and is a predicted model, not a curated record. The transcript has 3 exons. Lineage: Eukaryota; Metazoa; Chordata; Amphibia; Anura; Dicroglossidae.